CCAGACUUAAACUGCUCAAAAUUAUAAGAAACCGAGUAUAAAAUGAUGUAAACCAGAGCAUAAUCUUUUAGAAGCAAAUUUAAACGAACCCGUCUGAUUUGGAUCAAAUCAGAUGUUUAUACCAAUCAAAUGAGAGAGAAAAGCUAACAAAAAAAGCUUCCUUCUCCUCUCCCUAUUGCCAACAGUCCCCUCCCCCUUUCUUUCUCUUUUUCGAUCAAACGACCAUAGUUUUCGGCAAUCUAGCAAUCUAAACCCAUCUACUUGACGAAAGGAGUUUUAUCCUAGCCUUGGUUCGCACGAUUAGAACUGUAAUCAUGAAGAAUCAGUUCUGGUAAUUUGUGAUACUAAUGCAUCGUUGCUUUUCGACGAAUUCAUGUCGUUUUCGGUGGCCCUUCAUGUCUAGAAUUGUUGUAAUCGACUUUGCAUCACCUCACGAGCAUUUUCCCUUCAUAAAUUUCGGCGACCAGCUCCGUCUUGUGAAUCUGUAAUGAUCAACGAUAAGGAGGGAGGUUGUCGAUAUGAUUCCAGCUAAAGGGCUUCUCAUCUCUGCAAAUUCAAGCCGGAAAUGGACUCUAGGAGAAAAUCUGAGCAAUCUAGUGGCGUUUUCCAGAAACCAAUUUUCCGGCCACCGUGCGCGGCGACCGGCAGUGACAAUCUGGUGACUAGACAAUGAGACCCUGGCGAGGCUUCUUAGAGACUGAAUUUUCGCUUUUCACGGUGAUCAAGAAUCUUUAAUCCGAUUUUUAAUCGUUGUGGCAUGCUACAUAUAUGCUUUGUUUGUGCCGAAUUAGAAUGAAGUGCAUCACCACUGGAUUUGUGAGGGCGAUCUAUGAUACUGUGGACCAUGUAUGGAGAGAUCGACAUCCCCGUGUGCAUCUGAUAAAAUCUAAUAUGGAAAAUCACAGGGUGACCUCCUGUUGAUAUAGAAAAGAAAAGAGAAUAUAAGAAAGAGAAAGAGAGAGAGCUGGUCAAGUGAGAUUGAGACCGGUCGGCCAUGUAAGGGGAUCGGUUUUUUUGUGCACACGUGAUGAGAGGGUGGGCCAUGUGUGAGGAUGGCUCAUUGAGGAUUUCAGUGACACCACUGACCAAUCUCCACUUGAUGUGAUUAUGUGAAUGUGUUAAUGUUUGUUAUUGUUGUUGCAAUGCCAUUUGUGUGGCGGACUGCAUGAUCAUAUAACUAGUCUAAUAACUAGAUUGACUUAUAUGCGCAUUUUUGUGAUUGUGUGGGAUGAGACGGUUAUCAAACCUUA
Molecule: long non-coding RNA, 1250 nt
Organism: Jatropha curcas
Lineage: Eukaryota; Viridiplantae; Streptophyta; Magnoliopsida; Malpighiales; Euphorbiaceae
Source: RefSeq, a predicted model, not a curated record